CUUUUCCUACGGGACGCAGCAGUGGGGAUUAUUGCACAAUGGGGGAAACCCUGAUGCAGCGACGCCGCGUGAGUGAAGAAGUAUUUCGGUAUGUAAAGCUCUAUCAGCAGGGAAGAAGAAGGACGGUACCUGAGUAAGAAGCCCCGGCUAACUACGUGCCAGCAGCCGCGGUAAUACGUAGGUGGCGAGCGUUAUCCGGAAUUAUUGGGCGUAAAGAGUGCGCAGGCGGUUUGAUAAGUCUAAAAUAAAAGCCCGAAGCUUAACUUCGGUUCGUUUUAGAAACUGUCAGACUAGAGUGUGGUAGA
This 305-nucleotide ribosomal RNA is filed under the name uncultured bacterium. Its description in RNAcentral is "bacterial SSU rRNA". It matches the Rfam family "Bacterial small subunit ribosomal RNA", at positions 333 to 655 of the family's 1533-position model. The record is from RNAcentral.